RNAcentral lists this ribosomal RNA (253 nucleotides) under uncultured bacterium. RNAcentral's name for it is "partial 16S ribosomal RNA". It matches the Rfam family "Bacterial small subunit ribosomal RNA", at positions 524 to 776 of the family's 1533-position model. The record is from RNAcentral.
UACGUAGGGUGCAAGCGUUGUCCGGAAUUAUUGGGCGUAAAGAGCUCGUAGGCGGUUUGUCGCGUCUGCUGUGAAAACUCGGGGCUUAACUCCGGGCCUGCAGUGGGUACGGGCAGACUAGAGUGCGGUAGGGGAGACUGGAAUUCCUGGUGUAGCGGUGAAAUGCGUAGAUAUCAGGAGGAAUACCGAUGGCGAAGGCAGGUCUCUGGGCUGACACUGACGCUCAUGCACGAAAGCGUGGGGAGCAAACAGG